CUGGCGGCGUGCCUAAUACAUGCAAGUCGAACGGUCUUUCUAUGGAAGCUUGCUUCCACUGAGAAGAUAGUGGCGAACGGGUGAGUAACACGUGGGUAACCUGCCCAUAAGAGGGGGAUAACAUCCGGAAACGGGUGCUAAUACCGCAUAGUUUUCUUGAUUGCAUGAUUGAGAAAGGAAAGACGGCCUUUGUGCUGUCGCUUAUGGAUGGACCCGCGGCGUAUUAGUUAGUUGGUGAGGUAACGGCUCACCAAGACGAUGAUACGUAGCCGACCUGAGAGGGUGAUCGGCCACAUUGGGACUGAGACACGGCCCAAACUCCUACGGGAGGCAGCAGUAGGGAAUCUUCCGCAAUGGACAAAAGUCUGACGGAGCAACGCCGCGUGAGUGAAAGAAGGUUUUCGGAUCGUAAAACUCUGUUGUCAGAGAAGAACAAGUUGGAGAGUAACUGCUCCAGCCUUGACGGUAUCUGACCAGAAAGCCACGGCUAACUACGUGCCAGCCGCCGC
RNAcentral lists this ribosomal RNA (509 nucleotides) under uncultured bacterium. RNAcentral's name for it is "bacterial SSU rRNA". It matches the Rfam family "Bacterial small subunit ribosomal RNA", at positions 36 to 518 of the family's 1533-position model. The record is from RNAcentral.